UGGGAACGCGCCCUUUGGUUCGGAAUAACUCAGGGAAACUUGAGCUAAUACCGGAUAAGUCCGUAAGGAGAAAGAUUUAUCGCCGAAGGAGCGGCCCGCGUCCGAUUAGCUAGUUGGUGGGGUAAUGGCCCACCAAGGCUACGAUCGGUAGCUGGUCUGAGAGGAUGACCAGCCACACUGGGACUGAGACACGGCCCAGACUCCUACGGGAGGCAG
This 216-nucleotide ribosomal RNA is filed under the name uncultured bacterium. Its description in RNAcentral is "partial 16S ribosomal RNA". It matches the Rfam family "Bacterial small subunit ribosomal RNA", at positions 118 to 351 of the family's 1533-position model. The record is from RNAcentral.